Molecule: ribosomal RNA, 1495 nt
Filed under: metagenome
Description: bacterial SSU rRNA
Rfam family: Bacterial small subunit ribosomal RNA
Source: RNAcentral
AGAGUUUGAUCAUGGCUCAGAUUGAACGCUGGCGGCAGGCCUAACACAUGCAAGUCGAGCGGUAGAGAGAAGCUUGCUUCUCUUGAGAGCGGCGGACGGGUGAGUAAUGCCUAGGAAUCUGCCUGGUAGUGGGGGAUAACGCUCGGAAACGGACGCUAAUACCGCAUACGUCCUACGGGAGAAAGCAGGGGACCUUCGGGCCUUGCGCUAUCAGAUGAGCCUAGGUCGGAUUAGCUAGUUGGUGAGGUAAUGGCUCACCAAGGCGACGAUCCGUAACUGGUCUGAGAGGAUGAUCAGUCACACUGGAACUGAGACACGGUCCAGACUCCUACGGGAGGCAGCAGUGGGGAAUAUUGGACAAUGGGCGAAAGCCUGAUCCAGCCAUGCCGCGUGUGUGAAGAAGGUCUUCGGAUUGUAAAGCACUUUAAGUUGGGAGGAAGGGCAUUAACCUAAUACGUUAGUGUUUUGACGUUACCGACAGAAUAAGCACCGGCUAACUCUGUGCCAGCAGCCGCGGUAAUACAGAGGGUGCAAGCGUUAAUCGGAAUUACUGGGCGUAAAGCGCGCGUAGGUGGUUCGUUAAGUUGGAUGUGAAAUCCCCGGGCUCAACCUGGGAACUGCAUUCAAAACUGACGAGCUAGAGUAUGGUAGAGGGUGGUGGAAUUUCCUGUGUAGCGGUGAAAUGCGUAGAUAUAGGAAGGAACACCAGUGGCGAAGGCGACCACCUGGACUGAUACUGACACUGAGGUGCGAAAGCGUGGGGAGCAACCAGGAUUAGAUACCCUGGUAGUCCACGCCGUAAACGAUGUCAACUAGCCGUUGGGAGCCUUGAGCUCUUAGUGGCGCAGCUAACGCAUUAAGUUGACCGCCUGGGGAGUACGGCCGCAAGGUUAAAACUCAAAUGAAUUGACGGGGGCCCGCACAAGCGGUGGAGCAUGUGGUUUAAUUCGAAGCAACGCGAAGAACCUUACCAGGCCUUGACAUCCAAUGAACUUUCCAGAGAUGGAUUGGUGCCUUCGGGAACAUUGAGACAGGUGCUGCAUGGCUGUCGUCAGCUCGUGUCGUGAGAUGUUGGGUUAAGUCCCGUAACGAGCGCAUCCCUUGUCCUUAGUUACCAGCACGUAAUGGUGGGCACUCUAAGGAGACUGCCGGUGACAAACCGGAGGAAGGUGGGGAUGACGUCAAGUCAUCAUGGCCCUUACGGCCUGGGCUACACACGUGCUACAAUGGUCGGUACAGAGGGUUGCCAAGCCGCGAGGUGGAGCUAAUCCCACAAAACCGAUCGUAGUCCGGAUCGCAGUCUGCAACUCGACUGCGUGAAGUCGGAAUCGCUAGUAAUCGCGAAUCAGAAUGUCGCGGUGAAUACGUUCCCGGGCCUUGUACACACCGCCCGUCACACCAUGGGAGUGGGUUGCACCAGAAGUAGCUAGUCUAACCUUCGGGAGGACGGUUACCACGGUGUGAUUCAUGACUGGGGUGAAGUCGUAACAAGGUA